RNAcentral lists this ribosomal RNA (339 nucleotides) under uncultured Latescibacterota bacterium. Its description in RNAcentral is "uncultured Latescibacteria bacterium partial 16S ribosomal RNA". It matches the Rfam family "Bacterial small subunit ribosomal RNA", at positions 29 to 351 of the family's 1533-position model. The record is from RNAcentral. Lineage: Bacteria; Pseudomonadati; Candidatus Latescibacterota.
AAUGAACGCUGGCGGCGUGGAUUAGGCAUGCAAGUCGUACGAGAAAGCGGAAUUUAUUUCGCGAGUACAGUGGCGAACGGGUGAGUAACGCGUGGGAAACCUGCCCUGAAGUGGGGGAUAACAUUCCUAACGGAAUGCUAAUACCGCAUAACAUUUCUUGACGCAUGUCAGGAAAUCAAAGGUGGCCUCUACUUGUAAGCUGUCGCUUUAGGAUGGUCCCGCGUCCAAUUAGCUAGUUGGUAGGGUAACGGCCUACCAAGGCGACGAUUGGUAGCCGGCCUGAGAGGGUGACCGGCCACACUGGGACUGAGACACGGCCCAGACUCCUACGGGUGGCAG